AAAUUGAAGAGUUUGAUCAUGGCUCAGAUUGAACGCUGGCGGCAGGCCUAACACAUGCAAGUCGAACGGUAACAGGAAUCAGCUUGCUGAUUCGCUGACGAGUGGCGGACGGGUGAGUAAUGUCUGGGAAACUGCCUGAUGGAGGGGGAUAACUACUGGAAACGGUAGCUAAUACCGCAUAACGUCGCAAGACCAAAGAGGGGGACCUUCGGGCCUCUUGCCAUCGGAUGUGCCCAGAUGGGAUUAGCUAGUAGGUGGGGUAAAGGCUCACCUAGGCGACGAUCCCUAGCUGGUCUGAGAGGAUGACCAGCCACACUGGAACUGAGACACGGUCCAGACUCCUACGGGAGGCAGCAGUGGGGAAUAUUGCACAAUGGGCGCAAGCCUGAUGCAGCCAUGCCGCGUGUAUGAAGAAGGCCUUCGGGUUGUAAAGUACUUUCAGCGGGGAGGAAGGGAGUAAAGUUAAUACCUUUGCUCAUUGACGUUACCCGCAGAAGAAGCACCGGCUAACUCCGUGCCAGCAGCCGCGGUAAUACGGAGGGUGCAAGCGUUAAUCGGAAUUACUGGGCGUAAAGCGCACGCAGGCGGUUUGUUAAGUCAGAUGUGAAAUCCCCGGGCUCAACCGGGAACUGCAUCUGAUACUGGCAAGCUUGAGUCUCGUAGAGGGGGGUAGAAUUCCAGGUGUAGCGGUGAAAUGCGUAGAGAUCUGGAGGAAUACCGGUGGCGAAGGCGGCCCCCUGGACGAAGACUGACGCUCAGGUGCGAAAGCGUGGGGAGCAAACAGGAUUAGAUACCCUGGUAGUCCACGCCGUAAACGAUGUCGACUUGGAGGUUGUGCCCUUGAGGCGUGGCUUCCGGAGCUAACGCGUUAAGUCGACCGCCUGGGGAGUACGGCCGCAAGGUUAAAACUCAAAUGAAUUGACGGGGGCCCGCACAAGCGGUGGAGCAUGUGGUUUAAUUCGAUGCAACGCGAAGAACCUUACCUGGUCUUGACAUCCACAGAACUUUCCAGAGAUGGAUUGGUGCCUUCGGGAACUGUGAGACAGGUGCUGCAUGGCUGUCGUCAGCUCGUGUUGUGAAAUGUUGGGUUAAGUCCCGCAACGAGCGCAACCCUUAUCCUUUGUUGCCAGCGGUCCGGCCGGGAACUCAAAGGAGACUGCCAGUGAUAAACUGGAGGAAGGUGGGGAUGACGUCAAGUCAUCAUGGCCCUUACGACCAGGGCUACACACGUGCUACAAUGGCGCAUACAAAGAGAAGCGACCUCGCGAGAGCAAGCGGACCUCAUAAAGUGCGUCGUAGUCCGGAUUGGAGUCUGCAACUCGACUCCAUGAAGUCGGAAUCGCUAGUAAUCGUGGAUCAGAAUGCCACGGUGAAUACGUUCCCGGGCCUUGUACACACCGCCCGUCACACCAUGGGAGUGGGUUGCAAAAGAAGUAGGUAGCUUAACCUUCGGGAGGGCGCUUACCACUUUGUGAUUCAUGACUGGGGUGAAGUCGUAACAAGGUAACCGUAGGGGAACCUGCGGUUGGAUCACCUCCUUA
This 1541-nucleotide ribosomal RNA is filed under the name Escherichia coli. RNAcentral describes it as "bacterial SSU rRNA". It matches the Rfam family "Bacterial small subunit ribosomal RNA". Lineage: Bacteria; Pseudomonadati; Pseudomonadota; Gammaproteobacteria; Enterobacterales; Enterobacteriaceae. The record is from RNAcentral.